Molecule: ribosomal RNA, 487 nt
Filed under: Leptochiton medinae
Lineage: Eukaryota; Metazoa; Mollusca; Polyplacophora; Lepidopleurida; Lepidopleuridae
Description: eukaryotic LSU rRNA
Rfam family: Eukaryotic large subunit ribosomal RNA
Source: RNAcentral
AAGGAGUGUACCAUGUGCGCGAGUCAUGGGGUUGUACGAAACCUAAAGGCGCAAUGAAAGUGAAGGCAGCCUNGGGUUUGCCUAGGUAGGAUCCCCUUCNCACGAGGGGGCGCACUACCSGNCCGUCUCGUCUGCAUUGCAGGGAGGCGGAGCAAGAGCGUACACGUUGGGACCCGAAAGAUGGUGAACUAUGCCUGAGUAGGACGAAGCCAGAGGAAACUCUGGUGGAAGUCCGUAGCGAUUCUGACGUGCAAAUCGAUCGUCAAACUUGGGUAUAGGGGCGAAAGACUAAUCGAACCAUCUAGUAGCUGGUUCCCUCCGAAGNUUCCCUCAGGAUAGCUGGCACUCUUGAUGCAGUUUUAUCCGGUAAAGSGAAUGAUUAGAGGCCUUGGGGACGAAACGACCUCAACCUAUUCUCAAACUUUAAAUGGGUAAGAAGUCCGGCUCGCUUAAUUGGANCCGGNCGUCGAAUGCNAGUGGCUAGUGG